This 484-nucleotide ribosomal RNA is filed under the name uncultured bacterium. RNAcentral describes it as "partial 16S ribosomal RNA". It matches the Rfam family "Bacterial small subunit ribosomal RNA", at positions 29 to 507 of the family's 1533-position model. The record is from RNAcentral.
AUUGAACGCUGGCGGAAUGCUUUACACAUGCAAGUCGAGCGGCAGCGCGGCCUUCGGGCUGGCGGCGAGCGGCGAACGGGUGAGUAAUGCAUCGGAACAUGCCCAGUCGUGGGGGAUAACACUUCGAAAGAAGUGCUAAUACCGCAUACGUCCUGAGGGGGAAAGCGGGGGAUCGCAAGACCUCGCGCGAUUGGAGUGGCCGAUGUCAGAUUAGCUAGUUGGUGGGGUAAAGGCCUACCAAGGCGACGAUCUGUAGCUGGUCUGAGAGGAUGAUCAGCCACACUGGGACUGAGACACGGCCCAGACUCCUACGGGAGGCAGCAGUGGGGAAUUUUGGACAAUGGGGGCAACCCUGAUCCAGCCAUUCCGCGUGAGUGAAGAAGGACUUCGGGUUGUAAAGCUCUUUCGGCAGGAACGAAACGGUGGGCUCUAACAUAGUCCGCUAAUGACGGUACCUGAAGAAGAAGCACCGGCUAACUACGUG